UACUAAAAGGGGGAUAUGAGCUCCAUUGAGCCUAUCCACCUCAGCAAAUUAAAUCAGCCACUUAGAAUAUGAGUUUGUGCCAUGUCAACUCUCAAUAACUAUAAUCACAAGCCACAUCAUCUCAUCAGUUCACGUUCUUAGUUUCUUCAGCUUCCUCCUCCCAACGUAAGCAUUUAUCGCACACACAAAACUGGUUCGGUUUCUUCUCAUAUUUUGUAUUUAUAGGAGUCAUAGUUCUGUCUAACCCUAAUCCCAUGAGAAGCCUUCCUCUCCCCCGAGACAGUCAAGCCUACUCAACGUGAAAGAACAAAAUCAUUGUAGUAGCCAUUAUCUCUCCGGUCCUGAUCAUAUCCUUGAUAUAGAUACGUUUGUACGGAAGCAAUUGGAAACUUCAGGGCAAUACCUCGAACCCGGUCAGAAUCUUUGUAUUUGAUGGCUUACUGAUUCUCAGAAUCUUUACAAUAUUCUCUAUAUGUUUAAUGUUUGUAUGUAAGGUUACCUAAAAGCUUCAAUUUAUUUAUCCAUCUUCUAAUAUCUAGAUUUAAAAUAUGAUUUUUGGUUUGUUUCUAUAGUAACAAGUGUAUGGUCCAAGGUAGUUUCCAUAGCAGAAGGGUUGUAUGCUAGAUUCUCUGCUGCAUCAGUUUUUUUAGGUCCUUACAAGGCUGGUUCUUUUUUCUUUGUUGACACCUGCAAUAAGAAUCUUGACACGUUCGGUGACAAUCACUACUACGCACAGAAGGUGGAUACGAUGCACAGUUUGAUCAAAGUCCAUGGAGAUUGUUGUUAAGGAAACAAAUGAAGCUAAAAUGCUAAGAGCAGAGAAUAGUUGUGGCCAGAACCAGCCUUGAUCAAGGUGUUAACGCAGAAUUCUUAAGACUGAAUUGGAAUCAAGUAGAAUUUGUUUUGUAGAUAUGAAAUCACUCAGUUGUUGUAUUUGAUUAUAUUAUAGGUAAGAGUAAUAUCCCUUUGAGAAUUGGCUAGAUUGAUCAAGGAAAAACGUUUUUCAAGCCAGGGUUAGGAAAAACAUCCCUUUAGGUUGCACAAUAUAAAUGUAGUAUCAAUGAUGGAAAGGUGCUACAUGAUGUUUUUCUUUCAAAAAGACGCACCUCUAUUCGUACGGCAGCAACACGCUUUAGUUGCAGGAAAGUGUUGGUUAUUAUUCUCUUUUUUAUUUCCUUAAGGUUUUUUUGCUAACGAUUUGGUAAUAAGUUUAGUUUGUUCCUUAUGUUGAACAAAUGAAGGAAAAGUUGCUGCAAAAGAUUCAAAAACAGAGCAAAAACCAUAAAGGCCAAGUACAUGGAUGAUCUUUUUGGGGUGUGUACAGUACAUAAGUAGUAUGUAGUUGGAGACACGAUUUGGUUUAAAAUAUGACGUUGAAUGUUGUGGUUGACUCGAAGAAGUUAACUUUUGUGUUACAAACUUUCUCUUUAGUUAGAAGCUGCUAUAAUUUUUGGUUACAAUUUGCAAGAAAAAGUUAUGCCUUGUGGGAGUUGUGUUUUACAUUCUCCUAAAUUGUAACAGAUCUUCAGACAGAAUUAGUCGUUAGUUUCAUC
This is a long non-coding RNA of Brassica rapa (field mustard), 1553 nucleotides long. RefSeq lists it as uncharacterized. Lineage: Eukaryota; Viridiplantae; Streptophyta; Magnoliopsida; Brassicales; Brassicaceae. The record is from RefSeq and is a predicted model, not a curated record.